Molecule: ribosomal RNA, 273 nt
Filed under: uncultured bacterium
Lineage: Bacteria
Description: partial 16S ribosomal RNA
Rfam family: Bacterial small subunit ribosomal RNA
Source: RNAcentral
UACGGAGGGAGCUAGCGUUGUUCGGAAUUACUGGGCGUAAAGCGCACGUAGGCGGCGAUUUAAGUCAGAGGUGAAAGCCCCGGGGCUCAACCCCCGGAACUGCCUUUGAGACUGGAUUGCUAGAAUCUUGGAGAGGCGAGUGGAAUUCCGAGUGUAGAGGUGAAAUUCGUAGAUAUUCGGAAGAACACCAGUGGCGAAGGCGGCUCGCUGGACAAGUAUUGACGCUGAGGUGCGAAAGCGUGGGGAGCAAACAGGAUUAGAUACCCCGGUAGU